This is a small nuclear RNA of Nannospalax galili (Upper Galilee mountains blind mole rat), 162 nucleotides long. Its record names the gene U1. It matches the Rfam family "U1 spliceosomal RNA". Rfam says of the family: U1 is a small nuclear RNA (snRNA) component of the spliceosome (involved in pre-mRNA splicing). Its 5' end forms complementary base pairs with the 5' splice junction, thus defining the 5' donor site of an intron. The record is from Ensembl. NCBI's taxonomy places the organism in Eukaryota, Metazoa, Chordata, Mammalia, Rodentia, Spalacidae.
ACGCUUACCUGACAAGGGAGACGCCAUGACCAGGAAGGUGGUUUUCCCAUGCUGAGCCUCGUCCACUGCAAUCAGGAUGUGCUGACCCUGCAAUUUCCCCAAACAUGGGAAACUCGCCUGCAUACUUUGUGAUACUUGGGAACUGUGUUUGCACCCUCCCAU